UAUUAUCUAUUACUUUGAUUUUCCCAUAACAUAUUUGCAAUAUUGUCUCUUAUUUGCGUCAUAUGUUCUCCAUCUGCUAUAUCUGUUGCUUCUAUAUCAUCUAAAUCAUGAUCAAAAUCUAUGUUGUUUAUAUUUGCCUCUGUCAUUACAUCUGCAAAAUCUGCAUCUGAGAAGUUUGAAAUUCUGAUGAAAUUAUGUAAUCCCACUGUAGCAAUUACCACUCUUUUUUGAACAUGAACAUUAUAUCUUGGAAAAUCAGAAAGAAACUUCCUUUUUUUUCCAAACUCCAAAAGUUCUCUCGAUAACAUAACAUAAAGAUGCGUGACAUUGGUUAAACAGUUCAUGUUUGUUUCUAGGAGGAGGACCAGAAUAGAAUUGAGACAUAUGAUAUCUCACAACUCGAUUUCGUGACGAUCUAUAAGGAGCUAGAAAUCCUUGUUUGUUUGGGUAGCCAGAAUCAACCAGAUAAUACUUCUCUAACGGAGGCAAAGAAAACUCGGAAUCACUUUGUUGUGCUAUUUGUAGAACAGCUGUAUCGUGGCAAGAACCUGGUGCUCCAUUCUAGAUAUAUGUGAAUAACAUAUUUUAAUCACAUAUUGCCAUGAUAUUCAAGGAUGCAUUAUCGUGCCGAUUCCAAUACAUUUCCUGUAACUCAGGCUUUACUUUUACGCACACAUGUGUCCCAUCCGUAGCUCCAACGAAUCCACUAAAAUAUGGCCAAUAUCUUCGGUCUACUUGAAGUCUUUCAGGAAUUCGAUAGAGUUCUUCUCUUGUCGGAGUUCUAAUAUAAUCACAUGCUAAUAAUUCUGUUGCCGUAAGAACUUCUCUAAAUUUUCUUUGCACAGUUUCUUGAUUUCGUCCAAAUCUUAAACCAUCAUCUCUUUGAACUUUAUUGUGCCCACAUAUCCGUAGAAACAGCGCAACACUUUCUUCAAUACUUAUAUUCAAUGUUGGUUGAAGACCAUAAUUUGUUUGCAACAUAUUACACAAUGUCGUGAAACAUGGAAGUGACAUCCGUAAUAAUUGAAGACAAGCAGCAUCAUCUUACUGUAGUCGACGCCAUAUAUUUCUCCAUCCCAAACCUCUAUCAUUUUGGACGGGUGCUCUUUGAAAAUAUCGGUCAAAAUAAUUCAAAGCUGGUUAAAUUACUAACUCUUUAAAUUGUUCAUUUUCCAAAUUCCACAAUUCAAUUCUUUCUUCGUAACUUAGAUUGUUAAGGUCUUGUGAUCGCAACUGACAUAUACGAAAUGCCUGAAAUUCAAUACAAACGAUUUCUUGCAUUAGUCAUAGAUUAUUUUACAAACAUAAAUUAAAAAUAAAUUCAAAUUUAAACUAAAAAA
Molecule: small RNA, 1340 nt
Filed under: Arabidopsis thaliana (thale cress)
Lineage: Eukaryota; Viridiplantae; Streptophyta; Magnoliopsida; Brassicales; Brassicaceae
Description: ATSL029830
Source: RNAcentral